AACGAACGCUGGCGGCACGCCUCAUACAUGCAAGUCGAGCGCGAAACCACCUUCGGGUGAUGUAGAGCGGCGAACGGGUGAGUAACAGGUGGAUAAUCUGCCCUUUGGCGGGGGGACGAACAGCUGGAAACGGCUGCUAAUACCGCAUGUGGUUGUAUGCUCAUGGUGUACAAAGAAAGACGCCUCAAAGCGUCACCAAAGGAUGAGUCCGCCCCCCAUUAGCUAGUUGGUGAGAUAACAGCUCACCAAGGCAUCGAUGGGUAGCCGAGCUGAGAGGUUGAUCGGCCACACUGGAACUGAGACACGGUCCAGACACCUACGGGUGGCAGCAGUGGGGAAUCUUCCGCAAUGGGCGCAAGCCUGACGGAGCAACGCCGCGUGAGUGAAGAAGGCCUUCGGGUUGUAAACGUACUGUCUUCUAGGGAAGAAAAAGUAGACGGUACCUGAGGAGGAAGGCCCGGCUACUACGUGCCGACGCCGCGGUAACUAGUCUACGC
This 497-nucleotide ribosomal RNA is filed under the name uncultured bacterium. RNAcentral describes it as "bacterial SSU rRNA". It matches the Rfam family "Bacterial small subunit ribosomal RNA", at positions 29 to 534 of the family's 1533-position model. The record is from RNAcentral.